ACAAGCUAUGACCUCUGGUCCCUGGGUUCUUCGUUGAGACCGCUCUUCGUUUCUCUUUGCAACUACCUUCAAAUCUGGAAGAAUCAUUUCCAAAGCUUGAGUGAAGUUUGUUAUUCCAAGUUACAAUAUCAUUUUUGAAAUCUGGAAAUAUUUGUGGGGAAAAAUGAACUGGAUUGGGCAAGAGACUAAUCUUAGGAAUGAUGCAGUCUCAGUGAAGAACAGAGCUAAGAAGGACCAAGUCCUCACCCUCAGGGGCUCACAUGUCAGCAGCUUCUAGAACUUUCGAUUUACUACUGGAAAUUUUUCUCACCCAGAUCAGCAGGCACUCUUGCCAAGGUAUGCAGUCAUCUUUAUACAGUCCAGGAUGUCAGUCACCAUUCACGAUUUAAACACUCAUUAACCCUACGGUCCACUCGAAGCUGCAGACUCACAUAUCUUGUGCCUG
Odocoileus virginianus texanus is the source of this 445-nucleotide non-coding RNA. The record is from RefSeq and is a predicted model, not a curated record. NCBI's taxonomy places the organism in Eukaryota, Metazoa, Chordata, Mammalia, Artiodactyla, Cervidae.